This 497-nucleotide ribosomal RNA is filed under the name uncultured bacterium. RNAcentral describes it as "partial 16S ribosomal RNA". It matches the Rfam family "Bacterial small subunit ribosomal RNA", at positions 28 to 507 of the family's 1533-position model. The record is from RNAcentral.
GAUGAACGCUGGCGGCGUGCCUAACACAUGCAAGUCGAACGAACAGACGAGGAGCUUUUUCCUCUGACGUUAGCGGCGGACGGGUGAGUAACACGUGGAUAACCUACCUAUAAGUCUGGGAUAACUUCGGGAAACCGGAGCUAAUACCGGAUAACAUGUUGAACCGCAUGGUUCAACAGUGAAAGACGGUCUUGCUGUCACUUAUAGAUGGAUCCGCGCCGCAGUAGCUAGUUGGUAUGGUAACGGCUUACCAAGGCAACGAGGCUUAGCUGGCUGGAGAGGAUGAGAGGCCACACUGGAACAUAGGAACGGCGAAGCCGCCAAGGGGAGGAAGGAGGGGGGAAGUGUGGAAAAUGGGAGAAAGGGUGCCGGACUAAUGCCGCGGGGGAGAGGAAGGUUUGGGGGUCUUAAAGUUGUGUAAUGGGGGAGAACAAGUUGAAGACGAAACGUGGGUCGUGUUGAGGGUACUUAAUAAAGAAGCGCCGGCUAACUACGUG